AGGUUGUUUAGGUUCAUAGUCUUUCUUUGAAAAUGAGUUCCAAAGAGACAGGAAGCAAGGCAAGAGAUUGCUAAUGAAGAGAUGGACAGAACUUUAAGAUGCUUUGAACCUGUUCAGCUCCAUCGAAGUGGUGAAGCACCAAGGCGUGGGAAUUCUGCUAGACCAGCUGCAUCUAAGCCCUCCUCUUCCUAGAAAAGAAGACACCAUGAACCGAAAAGGCCAACAACAUAUCUAAGAAUGAGGGCUGACAAUGCGCCACUUCCGCGGCGCCGGACCAACCGCUCAUACAAUGAACAAGAGGAUGGCAUUAAAACUUGUGCCUCGUCUAAGAAACCCAAUACCAGUACUGCUGCUCCAUUGUACAAAGAGCUGAAGAAGGAUGAUUACUACUGGUUCUAGUUGUCAUAAAUUGCACCACUAGGUUAUUCCACAUAACAUGGUUGCUGGGAGUGGUGCAAUGAAGAAUGAGAACGAAAUUCCUGCAGUUUGUCAAAGAUCUCAGAAAUGGUCUGGUUUUCUCAAUAUAUAUAUAUAU
Camellia sinensis is the source of this 535-nucleotide non-coding RNA. The record is from RefSeq and is a predicted model, not a curated record. Lineage: Eukaryota; Viridiplantae; Streptophyta; Magnoliopsida; Ericales; Theaceae.